UAGCGGAAGGCGGCUCUCGGUCAUGUGACCUGGAGAUCAAAGGGGAGAUCCUCUUGACCUCUUUCUUCCAAACACAGAGGGAGCCCCCCAACCCCCCAACUCACUUCCAGGCCUCUCAGCAGCUCUGCAGGGCCCAGAGGCCACUCCGUGUGCUUCUGCCGACUCGGUUGUGACCGGACAGGCAGCAUCUCUCCAGGUGCUCAACAAACUCCAGGGUGACGGCAUCGCUAAGUUUUGGUUUGGGUUGAGAAGAAUGUUUGAAAAUCUAAACAUCCAAGCGUUCAACCGCAUGAAUCAUCGGGGAACGAAACUCUCCAGCAUAAUCCAUCUACUGGAAGGUCAUGGGAUUUCAGUGCUAAAACAGAAAAUAUCAGGCAAACCAGAAGGAUUUGGUCACCCUAAAUUUAAUGUGGUUGAACGAGCAGUGGCCUGAGCCUCAGAAGCAGAUCAAGUAGAAUGAUGGGAACCACCCUGGAGAGGGCAGAG
Bos taurus (domestic cattle) is the source of this 486-nucleotide long non-coding RNA. NCBI's taxonomy places the organism in Eukaryota, Metazoa, Chordata, Mammalia, Artiodactyla, Bovidae. The record is from Ensembl.